This 661-nucleotide ribosomal RNA is filed under the name uncultured Streptococcaceae bacterium. RNAcentral's name for it is "bacterial SSU rRNA". It matches the Rfam family "Bacterial small subunit ribosomal RNA", at positions 73 to 720 of the family's 1533-position model. Lineage: Bacteria; Bacillati; Bacillota; Bacilli; Lactobacillales; Streptococcaceae. The record is from RNAcentral.
GAGGAGCUUGCUCUUCUUGGAUGAGUUGCGAACGGGUGAGUAACGCGUAGGUAACCUGCCUUGUAGCGGGGGAUAACUAUUGGAAACGAUAGCUAAUACCGCAUAACAAUGGAUGACACAUGUCAUUUAUUUGAAAGGGGCAAUUGCUCCACUACAAGAUGGACCUGCGUUGUAUUAGCUAGUAGGUGAGGUAACGGCUCACCUAGGCGACGAUACAUAGCCGACCUGAGAGGGUGAUCGGCCACACUGGGACUGAGACACGGCCCAGACUCCUACGGGAGGCAGCAGUAGGGAAUCUUCGGCAAUGGGGGCAACCCUGACCGAGCAACGCCGCGUGAGUGAAGAAGGUUUUCGGAUCGUAAAGCUCUGUUGUAAGUCAAGAACGAGUGUGAGAGUGGAAAGUUCACACUGUGACGGUAGCUUACCAGAAAGGGACGGCUAACUACGUGCCAGCAGCCGCGGUAAUACGUAGGUCCCGAGCGUUGUCCGGAUUUAUUGGGCGUAAAGCGAGCGCAGGCGGUUUGAUAAGUCUGAAGUUAAAGGCUGUGGCUCAACCAUAGUUCGCUUUGGAAACUGUCAAACUUGAGUGCAGAAGGGGAGAGUGGAAUUCCAUGUGUAGCGGUGAAAUGCGUAGAUAUAUGGAGGAACACCGGUGGCGAAA